This 374-nucleotide long non-coding RNA is filed under the name Ananas comosus (pineapple). Its description in RNAcentral is "long non-coding RNA (ACOM_LNC021450)". The record is from RNAcentral. Lineage: Eukaryota; Viridiplantae; Streptophyta; Magnoliopsida; Poales; Bromeliaceae.
UUUAUAGGCUGCUUGGAAGAUAAAAUAAGCCCCAAGAGAAACAGCUGCAAUCCAGUGCCCCUGCAGAAACGGGCGUUUCUGGGCGCCCGGAACCAUGUUCUGGGCGACCAGAACAUCCCGACUGCACAAACCGGGCUCCUCGGACUCUCCGCUCGCGGUGCGCUGCGCCCGUAAACGGCUCCGGCGGAACUCACCUACCACCCUGCCACGCGUCGAAGCAAGCGAUAUUCACGAUGUCAAAUUUUCGGACCCAGAUCUGGGCGCCCGGAACAUGGGAUCCGAAUUGGCUUCCAGUUUCAGUUAAAUUCAACACUCGUUUCUGGGCGACCCUAACAAUGUUCUGGGCGCCCGAAUCUGGCAAAACUCCAGUUUUG